UUUAAACCAAACAAACCCUAUAAGUAACCGUUUCCUUAAAAUUUCAGUUAAAACUUUCCGAUGACUUCAACCCCCAAAACAGAAAACACGAAAACAUUAGUCAAUUUUAUAAGCGUUGACUUUCACUUGCUUUUAUAGGACUUCUCUGUUUAUGGAUGAGUUGUAUCAAAAUGAGGAUUUUGAGCUUUCCAUUCUAUACUUAGAGAGCAGUGCUGGAGGCUGCAGAGAGGCGAAUACAGGAUCUAAGUUCUAUGGCUCAACCAGUAAGGUUUUAGCAUUCUACCUAUUGUAUAUUUAAAAUUAUGCGCUUAUAUCUACUAUUUGUUAUAAUUUUAGUGUAUUUUUAUACAUAAAUUUAUGUUUUUCAUCGAAAGUAAUGAAUUCAGAUGAAUCUGGUGUCGCAACGCUGAAUCCAUGCUAAGUUAAACGGAAAAUAAAAGGGGCACAAAUCCUUCAAAAUCAUGGCUCCAGUUCUUUGUUUUGUGUUUUGGGGUUAAGCAAGCCUGAUUCGCGAGAUCGCUGUUAAGUUUAAUUAAGUUUUUGAGGGAAUCUAUUACUUUUAGAUUUAGGACCAAAAUUCCCUAAUUAACCCCUAUACAUGAAGGACCAUUUUGAUCAUUUUCUCGCUUCAAGAAAAAAUGGCAGUUUUAGUAGUAGUAAUUUGAGAUAUUCAUCAAUGUCGAAGAAACAAAAGAAUAGAGUCACUGGAGUUGAAAAACCCCCAGAUCGUAUCAGUCAGUUGCCGGAGGCACUCCUGGUACAAAUUCUCUCUCUUUUGCCAGCCAAAGAUGCCGUGGCAUCAUGUGUUCUUUCAAGAAGGUGGCGUUAUCUUUGGAAUUCAAUUGAUAAUUUCCUUUUCGUUGGUAGUAAUUUCAAGAAAGCUGAAAACUUUAUAUCCUUUGUGGACCAUGUUUUGAUGCAUUCCACUUGUUCCAAAAUAAAAAAAUUCCAUCUCCAUUUAGAUUACACCUCCGAUUUGAACUUUGACUGGAGAAUCAGCCGAUGGAUUAGUUUUGCUGUAGAAAGGAAAGUGGAAGAUGUUGUCUUGUGUUAAUUUGAUAAAGAUCUAUUGACUCUGGUUCGUCAUUGAUUACAUUUGAUUGGAGCUGUUACGUGUCUGAUAAAGGAUCGGUCAUAGAGUGGAAGUCACUGAAAACCCUAAAGAUGAACUAUAUUGUGUUAGAUGAUGACGAAAUUGUGAAGUUACUGUCAGGUUGUUCUUCUUUGGAAACUCUGGAGUUGUCUUUCUUUGAUGAUUUUUGUCGUCUGGAAAUCACUUCUCCAAAUUUAAAGAGACUUAAGUUGGAAGAGUAUUGGAUGCCAAAUGACGAUGAUGAUCACUCAUUGGAACGUGGACUUUGAGCAAUACGGUUUUCAUUUGACUGUAGACUUGCAUUUGAUCUCGAUUAUAUUCUUUCUCCGGUUGAAUCCUCUUCGAUGCACAUUUGAGAUAGCAUAUUUGGCCAGAGGAGAUGAUAUUCAUUUGCUGUCAAGCUUCGGGUUUCCUAACCUCAAGGAUGUUAAAGUUGUCAGCUCCUCAGGGAUGUGUCUGAACUCUGAAGGAAGAUCCUGAAUGGGAUUAUGAUAAAUUUUUCAAACUUUCUGAACUUAUUCUAAAGAAUGCACUGGUUUUGGAGAAGUUCGUAAUUAUAUCAAGGAGAUCAAGAAAGUGCAAGAGCUGUUCAAUGAAAUAGUGUCUCGAUAUUCAGUUCGAUUGGCUGAGAAAUUGGUAGGUUCAGGAUCCUCUACCAAUUCAGUGAUUAUUUUCCCGGAGGAAGCUUUCGAUGACUAGAUUGCAAGUAGUUUUCUGUUUCAGCAUGCCAGAAAUGUUACCUUAUAUUUAGUUUUUGAAAUUUACUGCAGGUAAAAAUCUUGAACUUGUCUAUGUAACUAUACUGCCUCUCUACCCUCCUAGGGUAGGGGUAAGGUCUGCGUGUGCACUACCCUUCCCAGAUUUGUGGGACUCUAGUGGGUUUGUUGUUGUUGUCUAUGUGACUAUAUUAUUUGUUCCUGUUAUUUAUCUACAUAUCAAAUUUUACCUUGUGAAAUCUGUGUUUUGCAAUCUUUGUUGAUGA
This is a long non-coding RNA of Nicotiana tabacum (common tobacco), 2075 nucleotides long. RefSeq lists it as uncharacterized. NCBI's taxonomy places the organism in Eukaryota, Viridiplantae, Streptophyta, Magnoliopsida, Solanales, Solanaceae. The record is from RefSeq and is a predicted model, not a curated record.